CGGGGUGAGUAACGCGUGGGUAACCUGCCUCAUACAGGGGGAUAACAGUUAGAAAUGACUGCUAAUACCGCAUAAGCGCACAGUGCUGCAUGGCACAGUGUGAAAAACUCCGGUGGUAUGAGAUGGACCCGCGUCUGAUUAGGUAGUUGGUGGGGUAACGGCCUACCAAGCCAACGAUCAGUAGCCGACCUGAGAGGGUGACCGGCCACAUUGGGACUGAGACACGGCCCAA
This 232-nucleotide ribosomal RNA is filed under the name uncultured bacterium. RNAcentral's name for it is "partial 16S ribosomal RNA". It matches the Rfam family "Bacterial small subunit ribosomal RNA", at positions 104 to 334 of the family's 1533-position model. The record is from RNAcentral.